CAGCCGCCACGGGAAUACAGAGGGUGCAAGCGUUAAUCGGAAUUACUGGGCGUAAAGCGCGCGUAGGUGGUUUGUUAAGUUGGAUGUGAAAGCCCCGGGCUCAACCUGGGAACUGCAUCCAAAACUGGCAAGCUAGAGUACGGUAGAGGGUGGUGGAAUUUCCUGUGUAGCGGUGAAAUGCGUAGAUAUAGGAAGGAACACCAGUGGCGAAGGCGACCACCUGGACUGAUACUGACACUGAGGUGCGAAAGCGUGGGGAGCAAACAGGAUUAGAUACCCCGGUAGUCCCUGUCUCUUAUAC
This 301-nucleotide ribosomal RNA is filed under the name uncultured bacterium. Its description in RNAcentral is "partial 16S ribosomal RNA". It matches the Rfam family "Bacterial small subunit ribosomal RNA", at positions 509 to 807 of the family's 1533-position model. The record is from RNAcentral.